GCGGCCGUGCUGGAAGGGUAGACAGUCGGCGCUUAGAACGCCGUGGGCGAAAGCCCGUGUGGGUUCGAAUCCCACCGGCCGCACCG
RNAcentral lists this transfer RNA (86 nucleotides) under Streptomyces sp. 13-12-16. RNAcentral describes it as "tRNA-Leu". It matches the Rfam family "tRNA". From Rfam's summary of the family: Transfer RNA (tRNA) molecules are approximately 80 nucleotides in length. Their secondary structure includes four short double-helical elements and three loops (D, anti-codon, and T loops). The record is from RNAcentral. Lineage: Bacteria; Bacillati; Actinomycetota; Actinomycetes; Kitasatosporales; Streptomycetaceae.